RNAcentral lists this ribosomal RNA (234 nucleotides) under uncultured bacterium. RNAcentral describes it as "partial 16S ribosomal RNA". It matches the Rfam family "Bacterial small subunit ribosomal RNA", at positions 99 to 334 of the family's 1533-position model. The record is from RNAcentral.
CGGACGGGUGAGUAAUACUUAGGAAUCUGCCCAUUAGUGGGGGACAACAUUCGGAAACGGAUGCUAAUACCGCAUACGCCCUACGUGGGAAAGCGGAGGACCUUUCGGGGCUUCGCGCUAAUGGAUGAGCCUAAGUCGGAUUAGCUUGUUGGUGAGGUAAAAGCUCACCAAGGCGACGAUCCGUAGCUGGUCUGAGAGGACGAUCAGCCACACUGGGACUGAGACACGGCCCAG